UGACAGAGAAGAGCUGAAAAAUCACACUCCAGCCUACUCAACAACUGGAACAAUAAGGCCGUGAUUGAAGAAAUGAAAAUCUACCCGCCAAUUCACCUCCUACUUGGAGAACUAUCACUGAGUUGGAAACCGUGUAUUUUCUGCCAUCUGGAGCAGCACCAGAUGUCCUGCUUUCCACCUCGGCGUUCGAAAAGAGCUUCGCCUGGGAAGUCUCCAAUUUCUGUUUGUGAAAGAACGGAUAUCUGAGGAAAAGAGAGGCCCGAUGAUGGAACUGCCUUCGCAAAUAACACCAAACUGGGGAACAAUAUGGAAGAGACUCUCGGAAUUCAAAUUAACCUUGAGAAAUGGGAGAAAAGUCCUCCAACUCCAGACUUCCAGAGACGAGGAGAACAGAAGGCUCAGCUCCAACUUGGGUUCCUUUCAAUCGUUCGACCGGAUUUCUUUUUCAUUCGUUUGUUUGUUAAAUGAAAUUUGCAGAGCGC
Tachyglossus aculeatus (Australian echidna) is the source of this 482-nucleotide long non-coding RNA. RefSeq lists it as uncharacterized. The transcript is spliced from 3 exons. NCBI's taxonomy places the organism in Eukaryota, Metazoa, Chordata, Mammalia, Monotremata, Tachyglossidae. The record is from RefSeq and is a predicted model, not a curated record.